RNAcentral lists this ribosomal RNA (2905 nucleotides) under Enterococcus faecalis. Its description in RNAcentral is "23S ribosomal RNA". It matches the Rfam family "Bacterial large subunit ribosomal RNA". Lineage: Bacteria; Bacillati; Bacillota; Bacilli; Lactobacillales; Enterococcaceae. The record is from RNAcentral.
GGUUAAGCGACUAAGCGUACACGGUGGAUGCCCUGGCAGUCAGAGGCGAUGAAGGACGUGCUAAUCUGCGAUAAGCGUCGGUGAGGUGAUAUGAACCGUUAUAACCGGCGAUUUCCGAAUGGGGAAACCCAGUGUGUUUCGACACACUAUCAUUAACUGAAUCCAUAGGUUAAUGAGGCGAACCGGGGGAACUGAAACAUCUAAGUACCCCGAGGAAAAGAAAUCAACCGAGAUUCCCCCAGUAGCGGCGAGCGAACGGGGAGGAGCCCAGAGCCUGAAUCAGUGUGUGUGUUAGUGGAAGCGUCUGGAAAGGCGCGCGAUACAGGGUGACAGCCCCGUACACAAAAAUGCACAUAUUGUGAGCUCGAUGAGUAGGGCGGGACACGUGGUAUCCUGUCUGAAUAUGGGGGGACCAUCCUCCAAGGCUAAAUACUCCUGACUGACCGAUAGUGAACCAGUACCGUGAGGGAAAGGCGAAAAGAACCCCGGCGAGGGGAGUGAAAAAGAACCUGAAACCGUGUACGUACAAGCAGUGGGAGCCUCUUAAUGGGGUGACUGCGUACCUUUUGUAUAAUGGGUCAGCGACUUAUAUUCUGUAGCAAGGUUAACCGAAUAGGGGAGCCGAAGGGAAACCGAGUCUUAACUGGGCGUUAAGUUGCAGGGUAUAGACCCGAAACCCGGUGAUCUAGCCAUGGGCAGGUUGAAGGUUGGGUAACACUAACUGGAGGACCGAACCGACUAAUGUUGAAAAAUUAGCGGAUGACUUGUGGCUGGGGGUGAAAGGCCAAUCAAACCGGGAGAUAGCUGGUUCUCCCCGAAAGCUAUUUAGGUAGCGCCUCGUGAAUUCAUCUCCGGGGGUAGAGCACUGUUUCGGCAAGGGGGUCAUCCCGACUUACCAACCCGAUGCAAACUGCGAAUACCGGAGAAUGUUAUCACGGGAGACACACGGCGGGUGCUAACGUCCGUCGUGAAGAGGGAAACAACCCAGACCGCCAGCUAAGGUCCCAAAGUCAUGGUUAAGUGGGAAACGAUGUGGGAAGGCCCAGACAGCCAGGAUGUUGGCUUAGAAGCAGCCAUCAUUUAAAGAAAGCGUAAUAGCUCACUGGUCGAGUCGGCCUGCGCGGAAGAUGUAACGGGGCUAAACCAUGCACCGAAGCUGCGGCAGCGACGCUUAUGCGUUGUUGGGUAGGGGAGCGUUCUGUAAGCCUGUGAAGGUGUGCUGUGAGGCAUGCUGGAGGUAUCAGAAGUGCGAAUGCUGACAUAAGUAACGAUAAAGCGGGUGAAAAGCCCGCUCGCCGGAAGACCAAGGGUUCCUGUCCAACGUUAAUCGGGGCAGGGUGAGUCGACCCCUAAGGCGAGGCCGAAAGGCGUAGUCGAUGGGAAACAGGUUAAUAUUCCUGUACUUGGUGUUACUGCGAAGGGGGGACGGAGAAGGCUAUGUUGGCCGGGCGACGGUUGUCCCGGUUUAAGCGUGUAGGCUGGUUUUCCAGGCAAAUCCGGAAAACCAAGGCUGAGGCGUGAUGACGAGGCACUACGGUGCUGAAGCGACAAAUGCCCUGCUUCCAGGAAAAGCCUCUAAGCAUCAGGUAACAUCAAAUCGUACCCCAAACCGACACAGGUGGUCAGGUAGAGAAUACCAAGGCGCUUGAGAGAACUCGGGUGAAGGAACUAGGCAAAAUGGUGCCGUAACUUCGGGAGAAGGCACGCUGAUAUGUAGGUGAAGCGACUUGCUCGUGGAGCUGAAAUCAGUCGAAGAUACCAGCUGGCUGCAACUGUUUAUUAAAAACACAGCACUGUGCAAACACGAAAGUGGACGUAUACGGUGUGACGCCUGCCCGGUGCCGGAAGGUUAAUUGAUGGGGUUAGCGGUAACGCGAAGCUCUUGAUCGAAGCCCCGGUAAACGGCGGCCGUAACUAUAACGGUCCUAAGGUAGCGAAAUUCCUUGUCGGGUAAGUUCCGACCUGCACGAAUGGCGUAAUGAUGGCCAGGCUGUCUCCACCCGAGACUCAGUGAAAUUGAACUCGCUGUGAAGAUGCAGUGUACCCGCGGCAAGACGGAAAGACCCCGUGAACCUUUACUAUAGCUUGACACUGAACAUUGAGCCUUGAUGUGUAGGAUAGGUGGGAGGCUUUGAAGUGUGGACGCCAGUCUGCAUGGAGCCGACCUUGAAAUACCACCCUUUAAUGUUUGAUGUUCUAACGUUGGCCCCUAAUCGGGGUUGCGGACAGUGUCUGGUGGGUAGUUUGACUGGGGCGGUCUCCUCCUAAAGAGUAACGGAGGAGCACGAAGGUUGGCUAAUCCUGGUCGGACAUCAGGAGGUUAGUGCAAUGGCAUAAGCCAGCUUGACUGCGAGCGUGACGGCGCGAGCAGGUGCGAAAGCAGGUCAUAGUGAUCCGGUGGUUCUGAAUGGAAGGGCCAUCGCUCAACGGAUAAAAGGUACUCCGGGGAUAACAGGCUGAUACCGCCCAAGAGUUCAUAUCGACGGCGGUGUUUGGCACCUCGAUGUCGGCUCAUCACAUCCUGGGGCUGAAGUAGGUCCCAAGGGUAUGGCUGUUCGCCAUUUAAAGUGGUACGCGAGCUGGGUUUAGAACGUCGUGAGACAGUUCGGUCCCUAUCUGCCGUGGGCGCUGGAGAACUGAGGGGGGCUGCUCCUAGUACGAGAGGACCGGAGUGGACGCAUCACUGGUGUUCGGGUUGUCAUGCCAAUGGCACUGCCCGGUAGCUAAAUGCGGAAGAGAUAAGUGCUGAAAGCAUCUAAGCACGAAACUUGCCCCGAGAUGAGUUCUCCCUGACUCCUUGAGAGUCCUGAAGGAACGUUGAAGACGACGACGUUGAUAGGCCGGGUGUGUAAGCGCAGCGAUGCGUUGAGCUAACCGGUACUAAUGAACCGUGAGGCUUAACCUU